RNAcentral lists this ribosomal RNA (461 nucleotides) under uncultured bacterium. RNAcentral describes it as "partial 16S ribosomal RNA". It matches the Rfam family "Bacterial small subunit ribosomal RNA", at positions 28 to 505 of the family's 1533-position model. The record is from RNAcentral.
GACGAACGCUGGCGGCGUGCUUAACACAUGCAAGUCGAACGGAAAGGCCUUUUCGGAGGUACUCGAGUGGCGAACGGGUGAGUAACACGUGGGUGAUCUGCCCUGCACUCUGGGAUAAGCCUGGGAAACUGGGUCUAAUACCGGAUAGGACCGCACUUUAGUGUGUGUGGUGGAAAGUUUUUUCGGUGUAGGAUGAGCCCGCGGCCUAUCAGCUCGUUGGUGGGGUAAUGGCCUACCAAGGCGGGGACGGGUAGCCGGACUGGGAGGUUGGUCGGCCACAUUGGGACUGGGAUACGGCCCAGACUCCUACGGGAGGCAGCGGUGGGGAAUAUUGCACGAUGGGCGGAAGCCUGAUGCAGCGACGCCGCGUGGGGGAUGACGGCCUUCGGGUUGUAAACUCCUUUCGCCAGGGACGAAGCGUUUUGUGACGGUACCUGGAGAAGAAGCACCGGCUAACUACG